AGAUUGAACGCUGGCGGCAUGCCUUACACAUGCAAGUCGAACGCGAAAGGGGGCAACCCCGAGUAGAGUGGCGAACGGGUGAGUAAUACAUCGGAACAUAUCCAGUAGCGGGGGAUAACCUCGAGAAAUCGAGGCUAAUACCGCAUACGUCCUACGGGAGAAAGCGGGGGACCGCAAGGCCUCGCACUAUUGGAGUGGCCGAUGUCGGAUUAGCUAGUUGGCGGGUAAAAGCCCACCAAGGCUACGAUCCGUAGCUGGUCUGAGAGGAUGAUCAGCCACACUGGGACUGAGACACGGCCCAGACUCCUACGGGAGGCAGCAGUGGGGAAUUUUGGACAAUGGGCGAAAGCCUGAUGGAGCAACGCCGCGUGCAGGAUGAAGGCCCUCGGGUCGUAAACUGCUUUAUGAGUGAAGAAUAUGAA
Molecule: ribosomal RNA, 422 nt
Filed under: uncultured soil bacterium
Lineage: Bacteria
Description: bacterial SSU rRNA
Rfam family: Bacterial small subunit ribosomal RNA
Source: RNAcentral